Molecule: non-coding RNA, 66 nt
Organism: Potamilus streckersoni
Lineage: Eukaryota; Metazoa; Mollusca; Bivalvia; Unionida; Unionidae
Source: the annotation of a GenBank genome assembly
GUGGCCUAGUGGUUAGAGCGUCCGCCUCGGAUGCGGGAGGUCGUGGGUUCGAUCCAAAGACUUACA